This 377-nucleotide long non-coding RNA is filed under the name Homo sapiens (human). RNAcentral describes it as "novel transcript". The record is from RNAcentral. Lineage: Eukaryota; Metazoa; Chordata; Mammalia; Primates; Hominidae.
GUUCCAACCCCUUUGCGGGGUCCAAGGGCUCCUGGAGGAGGAGAUGACUUCUGGGGCACAGCAAACCAAGAUGUGUGCUCCCCAGAGCUGACUUGGAAGCUGUCCGGCCCCUCUGCAUUCACCCCAGCUGCCCAUGUACACCAGGCAGCAGGAGGGACAGCCACUGCAGGCUGCCAGCCUGUCCUUUGCUGUCUGUGUCUGUGUCAAGAGUGAAUGAAGUGAUAAAACCAGGAGAGCAGUGUGCUGUGAAAAAGUUAAAGCCUGACCCAAGCUCAGACAGAGGAAGCAGGAGCCACCUGAACAACUGAAGGGUGCAGACACCCAGAAGCUGGUUUUGUAAAUAAAUCGUGCACCUUGGCGCUGGUGCACUAAUUGGA